AUUGAUUUUCACAGGUUUGAUAACCAGCUACAAAAAGUUUUUUUUUUUUUUUGAGAGAUAGAUAGCACGUUACCUGCUUAAUUUAUUUUAUUUAGAAAUAAACUUAGCUGAAAAUGUGAAUCAACUAGGAUUCGAACUCGGAUCUCGAAUACCAACCACCAAGUCUUUUGCCACUUGCUCUAGGGAUGGUUGGUCCAGCUACAAAAAGUUAAAAACAAUAG
RNAcentral lists this long non-coding RNA (221 nucleotides) under Ananas comosus (pineapple). RNAcentral's name for it is "long non-coding RNA (ACOM_LNC013950)". Lineage: Eukaryota; Viridiplantae; Streptophyta; Magnoliopsida; Poales; Bromeliaceae. The record is from RNAcentral.